UUCACAUACUCUCCGACACCUUUUAAUCUAGCUGAGUUGUGGAAAUACGCUGAACAGAUGGCUUUUCUCACAAUAUCCCAAUCCGGUCCACACGACGUAAGUGGUAUCUUUAGUUGCUUGAGGAUAUCCAGAAGCUGGGAUCUGACCUCUCUAGCUUUUCUCAGACCUUUGACUUGUAGGUAAUGGUCAUUGCACCAGUCUCCUCUAUAGUCAUGCUCUUUCCACUGCUGGUAUACAUUCAGUAGCGUUAAAUGAUCUGAUUCUGGUACAAAAAAUUUCUCCCUUGCAGCGUCACUCUCUUCUGCUCUUUCUUUAGGUCUGAAGAACACUGAAGGUACUGAAAGCAUCGACACGAUAGUCAGAACCUCGUUUAUGCAAUCAAGCCGUUCACCCAUUAAGAGCAUCUUUGCAAGAGGUGGAUCCAGUGGGAACUCCACCAUCUUCCACCCAAGAUCGGUUAAUCCUCCAACAUUGCUAAGGGCACCCAACACCCAAAGCUGGUACAUAGAAUUGAGGAUGUUCUCUUGUGGAGGUGGAUCCAUAAAAUCAAAAUCUAACAAGUUGUCUAUUUUCAACGACUUCAACAACAACACAACGUUACCCAGAUUUGUUCGCUGAAUCUCUGGCACAGGGCUUGGCAACAUCUCAUUCAAAUAAGCACUCUCAGUAUACAGCCUGUAACAUGAUCCCGGCCCUGUCCUUCCAGCUCUCCCUGCACGCUGAUCAGAGGCUGCACGACUUAUUGGGAAAACUUGCAGAGCAUCCAUACCCAUUCUAGGAUUGAAAACCUUCAUCUUUCCGUACCCCGUGUCAAUCACAUAAUAUAUUCCAUCGACUGUCAAUGAUGUUUCAGCAAUAUUGGUGGCAACAAUGCAUUUACGGGCUCCAUCUUCUGGUUUCUGG
This 903-nucleotide long non-coding RNA is filed under the name Capsella grandiflora. RNAcentral describes it as "long non-coding RNA (CGRA_LNC000370)". Lineage: Eukaryota; Viridiplantae; Streptophyta; Magnoliopsida; Brassicales; Brassicaceae. The record is from RNAcentral.